AUUUGAAUCUAGGAAUCAUAGUAUGUUUCUCAAAUAGGAAAUAAGUAAGGUAUUUCAUUGUUGACUUGAAUAUGUAGAUUUGGCUAUGAUUUUAAGCCACCAUGACAUAUUUUAUUUCUUCCUCUGUAAUUAUUCUUAGCUCAGUCUAUAUGUGAUUUGUGUACCAGACUUGGAUAUAAUAAUAAUAGAAAAAGACUAACACUGUGCUCUGCCUUGAAUCGUUGGAAUUUUCUAUGUUAUACGUAAAAAAAAAAAAACAUUCACUGCAGUGUUAUGUCUGGCCCAGGCUAUGAGUGAAGCUUCCUUCGGGAGAAUUUGUUCCAUUGCUGUUCCAGCAGGUUUUCAGCAUCAGUGAAAUGAUUGUGCCGUCAUGAGCUGGAAUACUGAGACGGGGAGAUGUAUUAGAUCAUUGAAGUCCAUCACAGGAAUGAGGCCAUAACAUGCUCUCUUAGUCUUCAAGUAAAAGUUUGUAUAGGCAUGGCCGAUCUUUAAAGUCAAAUCCUUCAGUGAAAAACUUCUGAUGCAAACAACAAUAUCGAAAGGAUUCAGUAGCUGCCUCUACGCUAACCAGAACCACCACUCAUACUUUUCCAAGAUGAAAGGAAGAAAGGAUAUGAGCAUGGAAGAAUCAUAGUCCAGCUACUCCAUGUGGAGAGAGCAGGAAUCUAAGCAUCCGCGAUAACGCGCCCACUGCAGCAGCUGCCCAGGGUUGAACAUCACGGUGCAGAGCUGCAGGCGACCACGACAGCACCAGACGGCUGUUCUACCACUGUGUUUAAAUUCUCUCAUCACCAAGCUAUAAGGAGCGUAACACGUUCAGCACCGAAGGAAAAGACUGGCAGCUGUAACUCGGGGAUGAGGAGCUGGACGGUAGAGGCAAGAAACUUGCUGCAUCUGCCUGAGAGAACCCAUCAUGCUGGCUGAAGGAUCCCAAGCACAGCAGCAUUUGUGCCAACGAG
Molecule: long non-coding RNA, 959 nt
Filed under: Fukomys damarensis (Damara mole-rat)
Lineage: Eukaryota; Metazoa; Chordata; Mammalia; Rodentia; Bathyergidae
Description: lncRNA (ENSFDAG00000026330.1)
Source: RNAcentral